RNAcentral lists this long non-coding RNA (274 nucleotides) under Mytilus galloprovincialis (Mediterranean mussel). Lineage: Eukaryota; Metazoa; Mollusca; Bivalvia; Mytilida; Mytilidae. The record is from RNAcentral.
AUAUUACUCGAUUUAUUUCACUUGACUGGGCGAAGUUUAUCCAGUUCGCUCAUAAUAAACCGGUCCAUCUAUAGAUAGGUGUUUUAGGAUAAACUCAUCAAUGAAGUGUUCCGUCAUUCUUUUGUAAAUUCCUUUGAGGUCACUGAUAGGUGAUUAGAAAUCAGUAAUAAUUAUAACGGCAAUCAUCGUAAUCACACAUAUCUUCAAAUGGACUGUCCUUAUGCAAAUUAAAACGUAAGCUCCUCCCGAUCAGUUGAAAUAACAUAGGUAAUAU